CCUCCAUGCUCCUGUACUCUCUGUCACGUGAAAACGGCUCACUCUUUUUCACUGUACUCUCUCAAUCUCAAACCCUUCACUGAUUGUAUUACCUCGACUAUGGAAUUGAUCGGUGCUUUUUGUUGUGGCCUUAUCCAUAAUCCCAAGUUUGCAACCCACGGUGCCCUGGAGACGAGCCUUGUUCUUCUAGCUUCCUUUGACACAAGAAAUGCAGCAGAAUAGCACAGACAAUGAAGUAGUUCAUGAGCAAUGUAAUCAUGAACUGAUGAUACAGUGAAAAAUUGUUUACCCUGAUAUCUUAACCACGUGGGUAAAUCAUUUAAGCCAUGAGAGGUUGCAGGAACACUGUCCUUCUGCAAUGGACUUUAUCAUGUGGCAUACUCUUAGUAGAUCUGAUAACAACGCUGAGGCGCUACCUUCCAGUGCUUGAAGUUCGUGAAAAGAUGAGGGGAUGGACUGUGCUUGUGCAAGUGGUUGAGGCUGGAGAUGUGCAGCUUACUUGUGAAACACCACCAAGGAACAUUAUGCACUCCCUCUUGACAGAUUCUUAGGGAACUACAGUUUCAGCAGCCAUACAUGGCAGCGAUAUUCGCUACUUUGCUGCAACCAUUUAAGAGAUAUUACAUCUCUAAUGCUUCUGUUAAACUACAAGAACCAAAAUACCAAGUUAGUGACUAUACCUGCUCUUGGGUGAUCAACAAUUACACUCUGGUGGAAUAGCAUCUUGAACCAAUUCCUCCAAAUCUUCCGUGCACCUUCCAGCUGAAGAGAUUCUCUGAUUUCUUCAGAUAUGCAGAUCAAGACAACCUGCAGGAUGUACAAGCUGUUGUCAUCCAUGCUUUUCCUGCAAAGGAACAUGGACUAAUUUCACAAGAGAUUCCAUCAUUGUUGAUCAAGAGGGAAAUAUGAUGGCGCUUACUCUGUGGAAUGAGUUCAAACAGAAUGAGGGAACUCUACUUGCAAAUACAAUUGCAAAUGGCAAUGUUCUUAUUGCUAUGAGGCUGAAAGUUACCACUUUCGGCUGUGAGUUAAAUCUUCAA
Molecule: long non-coding RNA, 1040 nt
Organism: Coffea eugenioides
Lineage: Eukaryota; Viridiplantae; Streptophyta; Magnoliopsida; Gentianales; Rubiaceae
Exons: 6
Source: RefSeq, a predicted model, not a curated record